RNAcentral lists this ribosomal RNA (1424 nucleotides) under metagenome. RNAcentral describes it as "bacterial SSU rRNA". It matches the Rfam family "Bacterial small subunit ribosomal RNA". The record is from RNAcentral.
AGAGUUUGAUCCUGGCUCAGAACGAACGCUGGCGGCAGGCUUCAUACAUGCAAGUCGAACGGGCAGUAGCAAUACUGUCAGUGGCGAACGGGUGCGUAACAGGUGGAUAAUCUGCCCUUUGGCGGGGGACAACGGUUGGAAACGGCCGCUAAUACCGCAUGUGAUCAUUGGUUCUUCGGCACCGAUGAGGAAAGGCGCUUCACAGCGUCACCAGAGGAUGAGUCCGCCUCCCAUUAGCUAGUUGGUGAGAUAACAGCCCACCAAGGCAACGAUGGGUAGCCGAGCUGAGAGGUUGAUCGGCCACACUGGGACUGAGACACGGCCCAGACACCUACGGGUGGCAGCAGUAGGGAAUCUUGGACAAUGGGCGAAAGCCUGAUCCAGCCAUGCCGCGUGAGGGAUGAAGGUCUUCGGAUUGUAAACCUCUUUUCUGAGGGAAGAACUGCCAGUAGAGGAAAUGCUUCUGGUUUGACGGUACCUCAGGAAUAAGCAACGGCUAACUCGGUGCCAGCAGCCGCGGUAAUACGGAGGUUGCAAGCGUUGUUCGGAAUUACUGGGCGUAAAGGGGGCGCAGGCGGUUCGCCAAGUUGAAAGUGGAAGCCCGGGGCUCAACCCCGGAUUGUCUUUCAAUACUAGCGAACUUGAGUUUGGGAGAGGAAAGCGGAAUUCCGGGUGUAGCGGUGAAAUGCGUAGAUAUCCGGAGGAACACCGAUGGCGAAAGCAGCUUUCUGGCCCGAUACUGACGCUCAUGCCCGAAAGCGUGGGGAGCGAACAGGAUUAGAUACCCUGGUAGUCCACGCCGUAAACGUUGUGCACUAGGUGUAGGAGGUGUCGACCCCUUCUGUGCCGCAGCUAACGCAUUAAGUGCACCGCCUGGGGAGUACGGUCGCAAGACUGAAACUCAAAGGAAUUGACGGGGGCCCGCACAAGCGGUGGAGCAUGUGGUUUAAUUCGAGGCAACGCGAAGAACCUUACCUGGGCUUGACAUCCCCUGACAUCCCAUGAAAGUGGGCUUUCUCUUCGGAGACAGGGAGACAGGUGUUGCAUGGCUGUCGUCAGCUCGUGUCGUGAGAUGUUGGGUUAAGUCCCGCAACGAGCGCAACCCCUAUUUCUAGUUACCAGCGAGUCAUGUCGGGAACUCUAGGAAGACUGCCGGUGAUAAGCCGGAGGAAGGUGGGGACGACGUCAAGUCAUCAUGGCCCUUACGUCCAGGGCUACACACGUGCUACAAUGGCCGGUACAGUGGGCAGCAAUACCGCGAGGUGGAGCUAAUCCAUAAAAGCCGGUCUCAGUUGGGAUUGGAGUCUGCAACUCGACUCCAUGAACGUGGAAUCGCUAGUAAUCGCGCAUCAGCUACGGCGCGGUGAAUACGUUCCCGGGCCUUGUACACACCGCCCGUCACAUGACCCGAGUCGGGUGCACCC